UGGAAAAAAUGGGAUGAAGGAUGUCCUAAUAAUAAUGAUAGUGCAGUGGUUGGUCUUUCUCUUUCUUGCUUAUUACAUUGAUCAGAUUGCAUCAUCAGGGAAAGAUCCCCUAUUUUUCUUGUGGAACUCCCGAAAGAAGUCUUUACCUUCCUUCAGGACACAUAGUUUACGAAGGCAGGGUUCUAAAGUUUUCGUACAAAUGGAGAAACACUUCACCUUCCUUCAGGAAACAUAGUUUACGAAGGCAGGGUUCUAAAGUUUUCGUACAAAUGGAGAAACCUGAUGUUGCUCAGGAGGUAAACAUUUAAUUAUCCGGUGAAAAACAUUAUGUUUGUUCCUAUCUACAAAACUA
Molecule: long non-coding RNA, 352 nt
Filed under: Nicotiana benthamiana
Lineage: Eukaryota; Viridiplantae; Streptophyta; Magnoliopsida; Solanales; Solanaceae
Description: long non-coding RNA (NBEN_LNC019033)
Source: RNAcentral